This 302-nucleotide ribosomal RNA is filed under the name uncultured eukaryote. RNAcentral's name for it is "partial 18S ribosomal RNA". It matches the Rfam family "Eukaryotic small subunit ribosomal RNA", at positions 1470 to 1796 of the family's 1831-position model. The record is from RNAcentral.
CCCUUAGAUGUUCUGGGCUGCACGCGUGCUACAAUGAUACAUACAAAAAGUUACUCCAUGAUUGACAAAUCUUGGUAAUCUAUCAAUAUGUAUCGUGCUUGGGAUAGACUAUUGUAAUUAUUGGUCUUGAACGAGGAAUUCCUAGUAAGCGCAAGUCACCAACUUGCGCUGAUUACGUUCCUGCCCUUUGUACACACCGCCCGUCGCUUCUACCGAUUGAGUGUUCCAGUGAAUUAUUCGGAGUAUUUUAUAAUAUAAAGUCUUGUAAACUGUAACACUUAGAGGAAGGAGAAGUCGUAACA